Pelodiscus sinensis (Chinese soft-shelled turtle) is the source of this 3329-nucleotide non-coding RNA. NCBI's taxonomy places the organism in Eukaryota, Metazoa, Chordata, Testudines, Trionychidae. The record is from RefSeq and is a predicted model, not a curated record.
AGAGAAGCCUCAUACAGGACAUAAUGUGAACAGGCUAUAUUCCAUUCCAGUAAAUGGUCUACAUUCCAUUUCUGUAUUGGGACUGGCAUUCUAGAGAAUACACAACAAUUCCACAAUGGAAGAAAAGGCAAUUGGUACAGUAGCUCAUAACUCUAUAUCUGAAUACUGUCCCAUCAAGGAAGCAAACAAGCUAGAUUCAAGUGACAGCUGUGAAAUAUAUGAAAGAAACAAAGAAACUAUGCAGCUGAAGAAAGAAAUAUCUUUGCUUAAUGGAAUCAGUCUCAUUGUAGGCAACAUGAUUGGUUCGGGUAUCUUUGUCUCUCCCAAAGGAGUUCUCAUCUACAGUGCCUCCUUUGGAUUGUCUCUAAUAAUCUGGGCAACAGGAGGGAUUUUUUCAGUGUUUGGAGCUCUCUGCUAUGCUGAACUGGGAACCACAAUUACUAAGUCAGGAGCCAGCUAUGCAUAUAUCUUGGAGGCCUUUGGGAGCUUUAUUGCUUUUAUUCGCUUAUGGACCUCACUGUUGAUUGUUGAGCCAACUAGUCAAGCAAUUAUUGCAAUAACUUUUGCUAACUACAUUGUGCAGCCUAUCUUCCCUUCUUGUGAUCCACCCUAUGUUGCCUGUCGUCUCAUCGCAGCUGCUUGUAUAUGUCUUCUAACGUUUAUAAAUUGUGCCUAUGUUAAAUGGGGAACAAGGGUGCAGGAUGUAUUCACGUAUGCUAAAGUCAUUGCCCUUAUUGUCAUCAUCAUAACAGGAAUUGUUAAACUAUGCCAGGGACAUUCAGGACACUUUAAGAACUCCUUUGAGGGAUCUUCUUGGGACCUAGGCGAUAUUUCUCUUGCACUGUACUCUGCCCUGUUCUCUUACUCAGGUUGGGACACACUUAAUUUUGUAACAGAAGAAAUCCAAAACCCAGAAAGGAAUCUGCCACUGGCUAUUGCAGUUUCUAUGCCCAUUGUGACGAUUAUCUAUAUUUUGACCAACAUAGCUUACUACACAGUACUGGAUAUUAAUGCUGUUCUUUCUAGCGAUGCUGUAGCAGUGACAUUUGCUGACCAGGUGUUUGGCAUUUUCAGUUGGACAGUUCCCGUUGCUGUAGCUGUUUCAUGUUUUGGUGGACUCAAUGCAUCAAUUUUAGCAUCAUCUAGGCUUUUUUUUGUAGGAUCCCGGGAAGGUCAUCUCCCUGACCUGUUAUCCACGAUACAUAUAGUGAGGUUCACACCUGUGCCAGCACUACUCUUCAAUUGUACUAUGACCCUCAUUUAUCUGACUGUAGAAGAUGUCUUCCAGCUUAUCAAUUACUUCAGUUUCAGUUACUGGUUUUUUGUGGGACUGUCAGUAGCUGGGCAAUUAUACCUUCGAUGGAAGGAACCAGAUCGACCCAGACCUCUCAAGGUACAAAUGAAUGAAUUAUCUGAGUCUCUUUUUCCCAAUUGCUUUCUGUAUAUGCUCAGUAUUUCUGGUAGUGGUGCCUUUGUAUAGUGAUACCAUUAAUUCUUUGAUCGGAAUUGGCAUUGCUGUGUCUGGAAUUCCAGUCUACUUCAUUGGAAUCUACUUGCCCAUAUCCAGAAGGCCACCAUUUAUCAACAAGAUGUUAGGUGCUAUAACUCGAUCCACUCAGUUGCUUAGUUACAGUGUUUUAACAGAGAUGGACAGUGACGAUAAGAAAUUAGAGACCAAAUCUAACUAAAGAUGCAAAACAAUUCCAAAACCAGCAGCGAACCAAGAAGCAGUGACUGACAAGAACAGAAGAGGAUCAACAGGGAACAUGUGACAACUAAAGAACCAUUGGAGCCAGGAAUGGACAAACUAGCUAUUACUGAGGAGGGACGCUUGGGUGCAUCAUACUCUGCCAUGAUCUGUAGUUGCUAUACUGGCAAUGAGUAAAUGUUAAUAACUUCAGUGUCUGGACUGUUCACUGUAGUUUGAGAGCAAUGGAAAAAUCUCUCCAAAAUGGAAGUUAAGGUGUAAGAGGGAGAAUAGAUUCUAGAAUAGUAGAGCCGAGUGAGCAAAUUAAAUAUACUUUGGAGAACCAGAUAGUGGAACUAUGAAUCAUUCUGAAUUGAACUUGAAAUUACUCCAAAUCAGAAGUGACCAAAGGUAAUACUCAGUAGCUAUGGACUGAAUUGAUAUAUAAAGACUAUAAUUUCAGUGAAAAGUUAUUUGGUCCACACAGAGAGAAGGUCAGUCUCCAAGGUUUGCUUUUGUACCGUUAGCAAGCUCCAAAUUGCCUUUUUACAGAAAAAAGCUUAGACUUGAUUAAAAUGUUACUUGGAAGUAUGAAUGUAACUUUUUAAUGUAAACCUGUUGAGCUGUGAUUGAUUUGUUUCUAAAUGGUUCAAAUAGAACCCCAAAAAGUUGAGGCAAAAACUUAAAAGCUUCUAUAUGCAAUUGUUUUAUAAAUAAGUUUACAAGUACUGUUACAGCAAAGAGAUCAGAAUUUUCAGUGUUUGAUUUUUCAAUCCUGUUUAUUGGAAGUAGUACUUUUACAUAUAUGAACUAGAAUAUAAUAUCCUGGCUGUCAUAUAGUCUAUUUUGAACAUAGCAUUCAACUGAGAGAAACGUAAGGAAAGGGGAAAUAAAUACAUUCUUGCUCUGAUGUUUUGUUAGUUCACCUCAGUUGUUGGCAACAAAUGCUAAAAAUAAUUGUACAAUUUGAGGUAAAGAUCAAAUCACCUUCAAGGUACUGGGGAUUCUUCUAGUCAUAUCAUCAUGCUACAUCAGCUCCUACUCACUUUGCAUACCAAUGUUAGACACUAUUGUAAAUAUAACACCCUAAGUUGAUAGCUGAAACACUUGGGUAUCCUUUGUUUUUAGGGAAUCCAAACAGGACAGCAAACUAUAGUCCUGUGGUGCAAUGUUGACUAUGUCUGCAUAUUAGCCUGAGCUUGAGAAAUUCAAAAGCUAUAAAACCAAUUUUGUUGCAACUAUUGGUAAAUUAAGAUGAAAUACAGUUACAAAAAUCAGGCUUGUAGUGCACCUUUCGUGGCACACAGUGUCUUGUAAUCUUUAAUUUUAUCAAACCCAAAGUGCACUGUAUAGAAAGGCUCUUUCUUUUGGAGUUAAACAGCUUCAACUGUAUUGCAAAACAUCGUGGUAUUGAUUUCUCCCACACUUAUUAUAAGUGUGCUGUAACUUUUACCUAGUCUCAUUGGUUAUUUCAUUUUUAUGUAAACUUGCAGACUUCUGCCAGGUUUAGAAAGCUGUAUAUUUAGCUUAUCAUCUUAUUCCUAGUAAAUUGAAGAAAAGUCAAAUCCAGGAUUUUAUUUAAAUGUCAAACCUUUUCAUUGUUUCAUCAGACCAUUUAAUAAAAUGUCAUUUAACACUUAAA